UAGUCCACGCCGUAAACGAUGAGUGCUAGACGUUGGGAAUUUAUUUUUCAGUGUCGUAGUUAACGCAUUAAGCACUCCGCCUGGGGAGUACGGUCGCAAGAUUAAAACUCAAAGGAAUUGACGGGGCCCGCACAAGCGGUGGAGCAUGUGGUUUAAUUCGACGCAACGCGAAGAACCUUACCAGCUUUUGACAUUGCUAAGUCGCGAGUUUUAGAGAUAAAACUCUUCAGUUCGGCUGGACUUAGUACAGGUGCUGCAUGGCUGUCGUCAGCUCGUGUCGUGAGAUGUUGGGUUAAGUCCCGCAACGAGCGCAACCCUUGUCCUUAGUUGCCAGCAAUUCGGUUGGGCACUCUAGGGAGACUGCCGGUGAUAAACCGGGAGGAAGGCGGGGAUGGACGUCAAGUCCUCAUGGGCCCUUACGGGGCUGGGGCUACACACGUGCUACAAUGGCGUCUACAAU
RNAcentral lists this ribosomal RNA (460 nucleotides) under uncultured bacterium. RNAcentral describes it as "bacterial SSU rRNA". It matches the Rfam family "Bacterial small subunit ribosomal RNA", at positions 791 to 1243 of the family's 1533-position model. The record is from RNAcentral.